This is a long non-coding RNA of Cydia fagiglandana, 801 nucleotides long. RefSeq lists it as uncharacterized. NCBI's taxonomy places the organism in Eukaryota, Metazoa, Arthropoda, Insecta, Lepidoptera, Tortricidae. The record is from RefSeq and is a predicted model, not a curated record. The transcript is spliced from 3 exons.
AAAGUUAUAUCAGAACCAAAAGUACAAAAUAAACGUAUCGGAAUCAUCGAAGGGCCAAACAACGAAGUGCAUAGGAAGCUAUUAAUCUGAUUCUAAUGAGUUUAAAAUUUUUAAUCUAAGCAUUUCUUGUAAAAUAAUAACUGUUGCAAAAACAUCAAUGAGCAUAGUCGCGCUACCCCCUCUGCCACGCAUACGGUAAAUUUACUCCAUGUUCGAGUCGAAAGUGUCUUUGUGUGACGUCCGUGUCUUUGAACGGACCAAUCACACAGUACGGGACUUCGCUCGCCUCGUCCCGCGCACCCCCGCAUUUUUGGCAUCAUCGGUUGCAUGAAAUAAUUGCUCUGAACUCACUCAUUUCGCUCACUUCGCUCAGUGGAUCUUUAGACUACAUUGUUCAAAAGCGAGUAGAGAGAAAUGUCAAUCAAUCAAUCAGAUACACACAGCCACCAAGUGCGACUAAGGUGGCGAAUCACGCGAUACAAGCCUGCCAUGUUUUCCCGACACCCUCCGAAUUCUUCCGAACCGCUCCGAAAUCUAUUCGCAACGUCUCACUCGCACCUCGCUCGUCACGCUCGGCCGGCUCAUUCGAAUCAUGAGUGGGAAAGAGCACACAAGGAACACUGAGAUAGAUGAGCGACUGAGCGAGUUAAAUCAUCAGUGAGCUGAAGAGUGAGCGAGUUCAAUCAAAAGAUAUAGCAGAAGUAAAAGUGCUCGACGCUGCACUAGUAAUCGACAUGGGCACUUUAUGUCAAAGUAAUAAAGUUAAAUUUGAACGACGAAGAUUUUUCUGUAUUCAAAUUU